GACGAACGCUGGCGGCGUGCUUAACACAUGCAAGUCGAACGGUAAGGCCCUUCGGGGUACACGAGUGGCGAACGGGUGAGUAACACGUGGGUGAUCUACCCUGCACUUCGGGAUACGCCUGGGAAACUGGGUCUAAUACCGGAUAGGACCACUGCCUGCAUGGGUGGUGGUGGAAAGCUUUUGCGGUGUGGGAUGGGCCCGCGGCCUAUCAGCUUGUUGGUGGGGUGAUGGCCUACCAGGGCGACGACGGGUAGCCGGCCUGAGAGGGUGACCGGCCACACUGGGACUGAGAUACGGCCCAGACUCCUACGGGAGGCAGCAGUGGGGAAUAUUGCACAAUGGGCGCAAGCCUGAUGCAGCGACGCCGCGUGAGGGAUGACGGCCUUCGGGUUGUAAACCUCUUUCAGCACCGACGAAGCGCAAGUGAUGGUAGGUGCAGAAGAAGGACCGGCCAACUACGUGCCAGCCGCCGCGGUAA
This 478-nucleotide ribosomal RNA is filed under the name uncultured bacterium. RNAcentral describes it as "partial 16S ribosomal RNA". It matches the Rfam family "Bacterial small subunit ribosomal RNA", at positions 28 to 523 of the family's 1533-position model. The record is from RNAcentral.